Molecule: ribosomal RNA, 482 nt
Filed under: uncultured bacterium
Lineage: Bacteria
Description: partial 16S ribosomal RNA
Rfam family: Bacterial small subunit ribosomal RNA
Source: RNAcentral
AUUGAACGCUGGCGGCAUGCCUUACACAUGCAAGUCGAACGAUAACAGGUCUUCGGAUGCUGACGAGUGGCGAACGGGUGAGUAAUACAUCGGAACGUGCCCGAUCGUGGGGGAUAACGGAGCGAAAGCUUUGCUAAUACCGCAUACGAUCUACGGAUGAAAGCAGGGGACCGCAAGGCCUUGCGCGGACGGAGCGGCCGAUGGCAGAUUAGGUAGUUGGUGGGAUAAAAGCUUACCAAGCCGACGAUCUGUAGCUGGUCUGAGAGGACGACCAGCCACACUGGGACUGAGACACGGCCCAGACUCCUACGGGAGGCAGCAGUGGGGAAUUUUGGACAAUGGGCGAAAGCCUGAUCCAGCCAUGCCGCGUGCAGGAUGAAGGCCUUCGGGUUGUAAACUGCUUUUGUACGGAACGAAAAGACUCUUUCUAAUAAAGAGGGUCCAUGACGGUACCGUAAGAAUAAGCACCGGCUAACUACGUG